GGGAGCUCUGGAGGGACAGAGAACAAAAGCAAUAUGAUACUAACGUUACUGUGAUGAGAGAAAAACAGACAUCUGAGCAGACAAAUACAACGAGUAUGUCUUUAAACCAUUAUGUACAAAUUAUUCAUAAAUGCCUUAUUCAAGGUUUGGUAUUUCAGAUUGAUUUAGCAACCACUUUUUACUUUUU
Sebastes umbrosus (honeycomb rockfish) is the source of this 187-nucleotide long non-coding RNA. RefSeq lists it as uncharacterized. Lineage: Eukaryota; Metazoa; Chordata; Actinopteri; Perciformes; Sebastidae. The transcript is spliced from 2 exons. The record is from RefSeq and is a predicted model, not a curated record.